RNAcentral lists this transfer RNA (75 nucleotides) under bacterium. Its description in RNAcentral is "tRNA-Asn". It matches the Rfam family "tRNA". From Rfam's summary of the family: Transfer RNA (tRNA) molecules are approximately 80 nucleotides in length. Their secondary structure includes four short double-helical elements and three loops (D, anti-codon, and T loops). Further hydrogen bonds mediate the characteristic L-shaped molecular structure. tRNAs have two regions of fundamental functional importance: the anti-codon, which is responsible for specific mRNA codon recognition, and the 3' end, to which the tRNAs corresponding amino acid is attached (by aminoacyl-tRNA synthetases). tRNAs cope with the degeneracy of the genetic code in two manners: having more than one tRNA (with a specific anti-codon) for a particular amino acid; and 'wobble' base-pairing, i.e. permitting non-standard base-pairing at the 3rd anti-codon position. RNAcentral also lists the same sequence under 2 other names. The record is from RNAcentral.
UCCCCGAUAGCUCAACGGCAGAGCGGCUGGCUGUUAACCAGUAGGUUCGAGGUUCAAAUCCUCGUCGGGGAGCCA